CCUACGGGAGGCAGCAGUGAGGAAUAUUGGUCAAUGGUCGGGAGCCUGAACCAGCCAAGUCGCGUGAGGGAUGACGGUCCUGUGUGUUGUAAACCUCUUUUGCCAGGGAGCAAAGUGCCGCACGUGUGCGGUUUUGAGAGUACCUGGAGAAAAAGCAUCGGCUAACUCCGUGCCAGCAGCCGCGGUAAUACGGAGGAUGCGAGCGUUAUCCGGAUUUAUUGGGUUUAAAGGGUGCGUAGGCGGACGCUUAAGUCAGCGGUAAAAGUGCGGGGCUCAACCUCGUCGAGCCGUUGAAACUGGGUGCCUCGAGUGGGCGAGAAGUAGGCGGAAUGCGCGGUGUAGCGGUGAAAUGCAUAGAUAUCACGCAGAACUCCGAUUGCGAAGGCAGCGUACCGGCGCCACACUGACGCUGAAGCACGAAAGCGUGGGUAUCGAACAGGAUUAGAUACCCUUGUAGUC
Molecule: ribosomal RNA, 459 nt
Filed under: uncultured bacterium
Lineage: Bacteria
Description: partial 16S ribosomal RNA
Rfam family: Bacterial small subunit ribosomal RNA
Source: RNAcentral